CUGAGAUUGGCGUGUGGGCAUAUCCAUCACUUUUUGAGAUAUGCCGCGCCGAUUUCAAUC
Molecule: microRNA precursor, 60 nt
Filed under: Caenorhabditis brenneri
Lineage: Eukaryota; Metazoa; Nematoda; Chromadorea; Rhabditida; Rhabditidae
Description: microRNA cbn-mir-7619 precursor
Source: miRBase by way of RNAcentral